GUUAGGAAUAUUGGACAAUGGGCGCAAGCCUGACCCAGCCACGCCGCGUGAGUGAUGAAGGCCUUCGGGUUGUAAAGCUCUGUGGGGAGGGAAGAAAAAGCGCAGGAGUAACUGCCUGUGUGUUGACGGUACCUCCUUAGCAAGCACCGGCUAACUCUGUGCCAGCAGCCGCGGUAAUACAGAGGGUGCAAACGUUGCUCGGAAUUACUGGGCGUAAAGCGCGUGUAGGCUGACAUGCAAGUCGGGUGUGAAAUCCCAGGGCUCAACCUUGGAAAUGCACUCGAAACUGCACGGCUUGAGUACUGGAGAGGGAAGCGGAAUUCCGGGUGUAGAGGUGAAAUUCGUAGAUAUCCGGAGGAACACCAGUGGCGAAGGCGGCUUCCUGGACAGUAACUGACGCUGAGACGCGAAAGCGUGGGGAGCAAACAGGAUUAGAAACCCCUGUAGUCC
RNAcentral lists this ribosomal RNA (450 nucleotides) under uncultured bacterium. Its description in RNAcentral is "bacterial SSU rRNA". It matches the Rfam family "Bacterial small subunit ribosomal RNA", at positions 354 to 796 of the family's 1533-position model. The record is from RNAcentral.